This is a non-coding RNA of Mustela lutreola (European mink), 594 nucleotides long. The record is from the annotation of a RefSeq genome assembly. NCBI's taxonomy places the organism in Eukaryota, Metazoa, Chordata, Mammalia, Carnivora, Mustelidae.
GCCCAGACCAGCAGCUUAGGCUGUAUAAAAAGGGCCUUUGCCACAUGAGCUGAGCUGCAUCGGGCAGGCAGGGGCAGCAAGAUGGUGUCACAGAGGCAGGUCUUCCUAUCCUUGUUCCUAUGGGUCUCAGGUGCCUGUGGGGACAUCACGAUGACUCAGUCUCCAGGCUCCCUGGCUGUGUCUCCAGGUCAGCGGGUCACCAUGAACUGCAGAGCCAGUCAGAGUGUUAGCAACUAUGUAGCCUGGUACCAGCAGAAACCUGGGCAGGCUCCCAGGCUCCUCAUCUAUGCUGCAUCCAGCAGGGCCACGGGCAUCCCAGACCGGUUCAGCGGCAGUGGGUCUGGGACAGACUUCACCUUCAGCAUCAGCAACCUCCAGGCCGAAGAUGUGGGGGACUAUUACUGUCAGCAGUAUUAUAGCUCUCUACCCACAGUGCUUCAGCCUCGAACAGAAACCUGCUUCCUGGGGCCGUGGGUCAAGGAGGCUUUGCUGCACCAGCUGCUUCCUCCCCGCUCAGGGCUGUUCCGUUAUCUGCCUGAGAAGUCACGUCUCCUGACUUACUCCUUGGAGGGCUUGUAAGGCCCAGGAGAAAAU